RNAcentral lists this ribosomal RNA (495 nucleotides) under uncultured bacterium. RNAcentral describes it as "partial 16S ribosomal RNA". It matches the Rfam family "Bacterial small subunit ribosomal RNA", at positions 28 to 523 of the family's 1533-position model. The record is from RNAcentral.
GAUGAACGCUGGCGGCGUGCUUAACACAUGCAAGUCGAGCGAAGCACUUAGGAAGGAUUCUUCGGAUGAUUUCCUAUUUGACUGAGCGGCGGACGGGUGAGUAACGCGUGGGUAACCUGCCUCAUACAGGGGGAUAACAGUUAGAAAUGACUGCUAAUACCGCAUAAGACCACAGCACCGCAUGGUGCAGGGGUAAAAACUCCGGUGGUAUGAGAUGGACCCGCGUCUGAUUAGUUAGUUGGUGGGGUAACGGCCUACCAAGGCGACGAUCAGUGGCCGACCUGAGAGGGUGACCGGCCACAUUGGGACUGAGACACGGCCCAAACUCCUACGGGAGGCAGCAGUGGGGAAUAUUGCACAAUGGGGGAAACCCUGAUGCAGCGACGCCGCGUGAGCGAAGAAGUAUUUCGGUAUGUAAAGCUCUAUCAGCAGGGAAGAAAAUGACGGUACCUGACUAAGAAGCCCCGGCUAACUACGUGCCAGCCGCCGCCGUAA